This 342-nucleotide unclassified non-coding RNA is filed under the name Melitaea cinxia (Glanville fritillary). Its description in RNAcentral is "misc RNA ENSMCXG00005019307.1". Lineage: Eukaryota; Metazoa; Arthropoda; Insecta; Lepidoptera; Nymphalidae. The record is from RNAcentral.
CACAUAUAACCCUCUCUCACACACUUGACAUUGACAAAUGACAAAUAAUAUCCUUCAAACUCAAAAUGGCGACACAACAAUAACAAGACAAAUAACAUAACUUAUUUUCCCAUAAAUUGUUUCUUACAUAGUUAUCACAUAUAUAAACCCAAAGUACAACAGAACAAUAUACAAACUAUUUGUGAUUACAUUGACUAUUGGUGCUAAAGAUUUAACUUAGAAUACCGUAGUAGUAUAGGUCAUUUGUGAAUAAAGAAUUAUUUGUAAACAGUGAAACUGUGAAAUACAAUUUUAUACCUCAUUGCUUGGGUCGAGGAUAGGCGAGGGUGCGUUGGGGCGAGG